AGUGAACGCUGGCGGCGUGCCUAAUACAUGCAAGUCGAACGAUGAAGCUCUAGCUUGCUAGAGUGGAUUAGUGGCGCACGGGUGAGUAAUGCAUAGAUAACAUGCCCUUUAGUCUAGGAUAGCCAUUGGAAACGAUGAUUAAUACUGGAUACUCCUUACGAGGGAAAGUUUUUCGCUAAAGGAUUGGUCUAUGUCCUAUCAGCUUGUUGGUGAGGUAAUGGCUCACCAAGGCUAUGACGGGUAUCCGGCCUGAGAGGGUGAACGGACACACUGGAACUGAGACACGGUCCAGACUCCUACGGGAGGCAGCAGUAGGGAAUAUUGCUCAAUGGGGGAAACCCUGAAGCAGCAACGCCGCGUGGAGGAUGAAGGUUUUCGGAUUGUAAACUCCUUUUGUUAGAGAAGAUAAUGACGGUAUCUAACGAAUAAGCACCGGCUAACUCCGUGCCAGCAGCCGCGGUAAUACGGAGGGUGCAAGCGUUACUCGGAAUCACUGGGCGUAAAGAGCGCGUAGGCGGGAUAGCAAGUCAGAUGUGAAAUCCUAUGGCUUAACCAUAGAACUGCAUUUGAAACUGUUAUUCUAGAGUAUGGGAGAGGUAGGUGGAAUUCUUGGUGUAGGGGUAAAAUCCGUAGAGAUCAAGAGGAAUACUCAUUGCGAAGGCGACCUGCUAGAACAUAACUGACGCUGAUGCGCGAAAGCGUGGGGAGCAACAGGAUUAGAUACCCUGGUAGUCCACGCCCUAAACGAUGAAUGCUAGUUGUUGUGGAGCUUGUCUCUGCAGUAAUGCAGCUAACGCAUUAAGCAUUCCGCCUGGGGAGUACGGUCGCAAGAUUAAAACUCAAAGGAAUAGACGGGGACCCGCACAAGCGGUGGAGCAUGUGGUUUAAUUCGAAGAUACACGAAGAACCUUACCUAGGCUUGACAUUGAUAGAAUCCGCUAGAGAUAGUGGAGUGCUAGCUUGCUAGAACUUGAAAACAGGUGCUGCACGGCUGUCGUCAGCUCGUGUCGUGAGAUGUUGGGUUAAGUCCCGCAACGAGCGCAACCCUCGUCCUUAGUUGCUAACUAUUCGGUAGAGCACUCUAAGGAGACUGCCUUCGCAAGGAGGAGGAAGGUGAGGAUGACGUCAAGUCAUCAUGGCCCUUACGCCUAGGGCUACACACGUGCUACAAUGGGAAGCACAAAGAGAUGCAAUAUUGUGAAAUGGAGCAAAUCUAUAAAACUUCUCUCAGUUCGGAUUGUAGUCUGCAACUCGACUACAUGAAGCUGGAAUCGCUAGUAAUCGUAAAUCAGCUAUGUUACGGUGAAUACGUUCCCGGGU
Molecule: ribosomal RNA, 1320 nt
Filed under: uncultured bacterium
Lineage: Bacteria
Description: partial 16S ribosomal RNA
Rfam family: Bacterial small subunit ribosomal RNA
Source: RNAcentral